UAGCGUGAGGGUGCUAAGGUAGCGAAAUUCCUUGCCUUUUAAUUGUAGGCCUGCAUGAAUGGCUUGACGAGGGUUUAACUGUCUCUAGUCUUAAAGUUAAAAUUGGAUUGAAGGUGAAGAUACCUUUAUACAAAAGUCAGACAAGAAGACCCCGUGCAACUUUUAAAGUCAGUUUAUUGAGAAACUUAAGAUUUUUAGGUGGGGCGCCUACUAAGUAACUGUAACCUUUGUGAAUAUUAAAAACUUUCAGGUAUAGACCCGGCAAAUGCCGAUCAUAGGAGAAGUUACGCCGGGGAUAACA
Molecule: ribosomal RNA, 301 nt
Filed under: Dendostrea rosacea
Lineage: Eukaryota; Metazoa; Mollusca; Bivalvia; Ostreida; Ostreidae
Description: partial 16S ribosomal RNA
Rfam family: Bacterial large subunit ribosomal RNA
Source: RNAcentral